RNAcentral lists this ribosomal RNA (253 nucleotides) under uncultured bacterium. RNAcentral's name for it is "partial 16S ribosomal RNA". It matches the Rfam family "Bacterial small subunit ribosomal RNA", at positions 524 to 776 of the family's 1533-position model. The record is from RNAcentral.
UACAGAGGUCCCAAGCGUUGUUCGGAUUCACUGGGCGUAAAGCGCGCGUAGGUGGCCCCAUAAGUCCGCUGUGAAAGUCAAAGGCUCAACCUUUGAAAGCCGGUGGAUACUGUGGGACUAGAGUACGGAAGAGGCGAGUGGAAUUCCUGGUGUAGCGGUGGAAUGCGCAGAUAUCAGGAGGAACACCAAUAGCGAAGGCAGCUCGCUGGGACGUUACUGACACUGAGGCGCGAAAGCGUGGGGAGCAAACAGG